UGGCUCCAGGGGUAGAGUGCCUGCCUUGUGAGCAGGAGGCCUUGAGUUCAAUCCUCAA
This 58-nucleotide transfer RNA is filed under the name Dipodomys ordii (Ord's kangaroo rat). It matches the Rfam family "tRNA", at positions 8 to 63 of the family's 71-position model. From Rfam's summary of the family: Transfer RNA (tRNA) molecules are approximately 80 nucleotides in length. Their secondary structure includes four short double-helical elements and three loops (D, anti-codon, and T loops). Further hydrogen bonds mediate the characteristic L-shaped molecular structure. tRNAs have two regions of fundamental functional importance: the anti-codon, which is responsible for specific mRNA codon recognition, and the 3' end, to which the tRNAs corresponding amino acid is attached (by aminoacyl-tRNA synthetases). tRNAs cope with the degeneracy of the genetic code in two manners: having more than one tRNA (with a specific anti-codon) for a particular amino acid; and 'wobble' base-pairing, i.e. permitting non-standard base-pairing at the 3rd anti-codon position. Lineage: Eukaryota; Metazoa; Chordata; Mammalia; Rodentia; Heteromyidae. The record is from Rfam by way of RNAcentral.